UGCAAAAUAUGCUGACAUAGGAUAAGUUAGUUUUUCUGAGUCUGCUUGUUUUGCUGAAUUUGUGGUUUAACUACAUGUUAUGGCCUGUGAGUAAUACUUACAAAUUUACAUUGAAAAGUCAUGUUUUUGGAUCCAUCAUAAAAAAUUGCAAGCCGGGGUCUUUCUAUCCCUCUCUAGAUUGAAUCGGGUUUGCCGAGUGUUAUAAUUUCUUUUAUCAUGACAACACGUAUCAUGAAUAGGCCAGAUUGGCCUACAGGGGUCUACGGCAUAGUCUACAUAGGCUCAGUUCAGUCAACCUAUUACUUUAAAUCAACCAGGGAAAAACGUUUUUAUAAGUCUAUUUAGCUAAAAGAUCUUUUAGUCCUACUAAGUCGGCCUAUUUAAGUUAUUUUGAAUAAAAAAUUUACUAUGAUUAUUAUUAUAUAUUAAAUUUUGUACUUUGCAAUUAAAUUAUAAAUCUAUUAUCUAUCCGUAGUUUAAGUGUUUUUUUUUUUUUAAAUGAGUUUAAAUUUUUUAAUCUACAUUAAUUUUUCACAUAUAUAAAUAUAUUAUAAAUUAGAAUUGAAAUAUGAUAGUCAAAUUCUCUAAAAUAUCAUGUUAAAUAUCAAAAGAAAGUUUAAUCUCAUUGGUGUAUUAGUUCAAUAGUAUAUUUAAAAAUAAGUAUAUUUAAAUAUGUUCAUAUGAAAUAGAUUUUUAAACAGCCUUUCAAAAGGCCAAGCUCAGACCUAAAAGAUAAGUCUAUGAUAAGUCACAGACUAGGCUCAAGCCUUUAAUUUGUUGACAGGCCUAGACUUGACAAAGUCUAUCUCGACCUAGCCUAUUCCCAACUCUUAUGAUUAUGUGAUCAUUUUACUCCUUUCAUGCAUACACAGACAAAACGUCAUGUUAAUUAUUUUUUUUACAAUGGUCUUGUUAAAUUAAUCUCAAAAAGUCUGGAAUUAUUUUUUUUUGAACAACUAGUAUAUUGUUAAUUAAUACUUGUCCAAAUUAAAUAUGAAUUACCACAAAAAAGUAAAGGUUUAACUGCAUAUUUAGUCUCUUAUGUUUAUUUUAGGUUUUAAUUUGGUCCCUUAAGUUUUAAAAGUUUCAAGUUAGUCCCUUAUGUUAUUGAUAUCAACAUAAGUUCGUCCUUUUUGUUAAAUUGAGUUAAUUUCUUAUCACUUUUUGUUAAAUUUUGAGUUUCUUUCUUCUAAAACUUUCACAUAGUACCGUUCGAAGUUGUCUGCGUACGCAAAUCUAUUAGCUACAUAGACGAUUUAAUUAUUUAAACAAAAAUUUGCCGAAAAAGAUUAAAUUGAAACUUUUUAAACGCAAGGAACCAAAUUGAAACAUAAAAUAAACAUAAGGGACCAAAUAUGCAAUUAAGCCAAAAGUAAAUUAUAAUAAAAGAAAUGUAACAAAAUUAAAAAAAUAAAAAUUGAAUAAAAAAUAAUCCCUUACCAUGCUUUUAUCAAUUACCCUCCCCCCUUUAUUUUUUUCAGCUUUUCCUCUUUACUAAUAUAAUUUACCCGUACCAAAAGCACGGGUUAGUAUUCAGUAUUCACUAAUGAAAAUCUAUCCGUUUUGUUUUUUUUUUUUCAUAAUUUUUGUUUACUUUGAAUAAUAUGACACUAAGCGUGAUAAAACUUAAUUUCCAAAUUUUAACAUAUAAAACUCAUAAGUUUUUACUUCUAUAUAGUUAAUUUCCGUGUCUUAUAUUUUAAAUAUUAUAUCUAAGGAAUAUUAGUAAAUAAUAAAUAAUAUUCUGCAUUCGUCAACCAUCAUCAUAUUUAAACUCAAAGCACUUUAAAUUCCUAAGUUUCAACAUCACAAGCAAACUUAAACCAAAAACCUAAAUUUUUCUAGCAUAUUCAUCAUCAACCUAAAAUAACUCUAAUCUCUAAAUUCAAUAAAAUUAUAAAUCAAUAAACUUCUAGAAUUCAAAGAACCUGGACUGGAGCAAGGCAAAGAGAAUGUUGCCUUCGUUUGGGAUGACCAAACAGUUAGCAUUUAGCUUAUCAGCUCAUUUGAUUAAAUUAGCCCUGUUUGGUAACGACGAGCUUUUAGCGUCUUUUCUUUACUUCUUUUAUUUUAUUGUUUCCUUCUAUAUAGAAGAGAAAGAGAUUAGCUUGUAGUAGGGUUGGGUUAAAUAAAUUUGAAAUGGGGAUGAAUCACAAAGUUUUUGGAGACAUAUUUGCUAGUUUUGUUUCGGGAAUUCCUGGUUUGAGGAGGGAUAAGGAUUUGCCUUCUGAUCGUGUCUUUAACAAACGAAAGAGGGUUCUUGAACGGUAUUACGGGCGUCCUUUCUAGUUGAGGUAGGUUUCCUCGCAUAUCAAUGAACUUGUUAGGGUUGAUUCUUAUAAUCCUGACCCUUCUCCUCCUCUUUUUUAUAGCGACUCGCCUUCAAAAAUGGGUCGCAAGAAGCCAUAAAUUGUUCUUCCUCCUAACGUUAUAGAGCUUAAAUGGGUCGUUCCCGACAUUUUGGGGGUGCCUCUAAAUAUAGUACCCGUAAAUCUUCAGAUAAUCUGAACGUGAACAUGGGUUCGUCUAACGAUUGGGGUCUCUCUCAAGUAUUUAGUGAUUGCAGACUCUAUAGUCAUUUCUCUGGGACAUGUUCCAUACCUAUGUACAAGAUCCUUUUUGAUGUAUGUAAUGCAUGUUCAUUUUCCCUUUUCUGAUUUUGAAGUAGUUAUUCAUAAUCAUUAUUCUAUAUUUCCUUCUCAACUUUUUCCCUCAUCUUGGGCUCAGAUCAAAGCUUUUCAGUAUUGAUGUCAUUGGGAGGAGGGGGACGCCCACCAUUCAGUUAUUUCUUCACAUUUUUUGUGUUCUCCGAUUGAAAGUUGAUACUAAUAAGGCUCGGUCUUUUAUUUAUUUUAAGCAAAUAAUAACUUUGUUCGAGAUAUAUCUAGAUUUGAUGAAGUGGGACUGUACUGAGUAUUUUUUAGUGAAUCCUCUUAAUGCUGAUGAAUGUAAUUGUUUGUGCUUUCUCGAUGAUGUUGAGGGUGUUACUCCCUCUUCCUUUGGUCAGAAAGAUGAGUCCUCUAAAGGUAUAGUUUGGUCAUUCAAAUUAUGAAACUGCAAUUUCUGGCAGUUUUGCUUCAUAAUUCUAACUGAUAAGUGUUUUCCCGUUUCUCAUCUAUUCAUCUGACUAAACGCAUGAUAAGCUAGCCAG
Molecule: long non-coding RNA, 3151 nt
Filed under: Trifolium pratense (red clover)
Lineage: Eukaryota; Viridiplantae; Streptophyta; Magnoliopsida; Fabales; Fabaceae
Description: long non-coding RNA (TPRA_LNC003679)
Source: RNAcentral